UACAGAGGGUGCGAGCGUUAAUCGGAAUUACUGGGCGUAAAGCGUGCGUAGACGGUUAUUUAAGUCGGGUGUGAAAGCCCCCGGCUCAACCGGGGAAUUGCGCCCUAAACUGGCGAGCUAGAGUGAGAUAGGGGUAUGUGGAACUUCCGGUGGAGCGGUGAAAUGUGUUGAUAUCGGAAGGAACGCCGGUGGCGAAAGCGACAUACUGGAUCUUGUCUGACGCUGAGGCACGAAAGCCAGGGGAGCGAACGGG
This 253-nucleotide ribosomal RNA is filed under the name uncultured prokaryote. RNAcentral's name for it is "partial 16S ribosomal RNA". It matches the Rfam family "Bacterial small subunit ribosomal RNA", at positions 524 to 776 of the family's 1533-position model. The record is from RNAcentral.